ACCAGUUCCUACAGCAUCUCCUGGACCACCCUGCUCCUCCGAAAUUGCUUCCCUGACCCCUUGAAGGGAGGCCCUUUCCCCACCACUUCCAACCUGUGAGUGAUUUUUCCUUUAAAAAAUAAUUUUAACUGAACUCAGAAGAAAAGGGAGGGGAGGACCCUCCCCAAAGGCUGGAGCUGCCUCCUGAGGGCACUUUCACAUUCUCUUCUUGUUUUAAUCUUGGGAGGGAUAGAUUAAAAAAAAAAAUCUCAGCGUUUUUCAGGAAAGGAAACUGAGUCCUGGAAAGGUGUUUCAAAGUCUAAGCAGUUGGGGAAAGCAGGUGGAGGAAGAGUGAAGAGAGACAGCAGACUUCAGAGCCCUCAGAGCACCUCCCAGAGGACAAGUCCCACUGGGAACCACUCCAGUCUGGCUGCUGGUGUGAGCUCAGCUGAGCUGCAGGGAGGGAGGUGGAUGGGAGCAGCCUGCUCCUGGGACACACACCUGCAGCAUGUGAGGUCUGCAAGCAGGACAGGAGCUUCUCAUCCCCUCCCUCCCACCACACCUGCCGCUGCCCCCUCUGCCACUGGACCAGCACCUGCAGGUGCCCCAGAUUCUCAGCCUUGAACACCGCAGCCCCCCUCCCUCUCAGUGCUUCCUGCAGCUGGACACGGCAAGACAGCUGUCAGGGUGACUGAACUGAAACUGGAGAGCCAUGCUUCCUCCGGUCUCUCCUCUCUAGCAUUGCCGCCUGUGCAGGACUGGGACUUCUGUGCCCUGUAUUACAAUGACACCAUCUUAGCCUCCAGCCCUGAUUCUCUGACCACCCACCACUGAACCACAGGUAGGGUGCUGUUUCUAAAACCUGGCUGUGACCGUGUCCCUGAGAGUCCCAGCCCCGGCCAGGCAUGCAAGAUCUUUCCAACAUCCUGCCCAUGCCUUUCCCACCACCCUUGCUUCUCUCCUGCCACUGCUCCACAUGCAGCCUGCAGUGGAGACAGCACCAGCAGUAGAAGCAAAAUUGAUCACUCACUUGCACUUCCCCAAAUGGGCUGGGUGGUUAUUCCAGAACCUGAAAUGACCUGCUUCCCCUCUGUCUUCCUGAACAACACUAACUUGUGGUGCAGGAGAUGAACUGGGACUUUUGAGACAGGGGUUUGAAGUUUGGCUAUUCAUUCUUGCAUUCAGCACAUAUUUAUUGAGCACUUACUAUAUUUCAGAUGCCAUUUACACACUGGGUAUAUACAGAGAGAGGUAUAGAUAUGACUUUCCUUUCCUCUAGAAGUUUGCAAUCUGAUGCUAAAGAUAGAUGUUAACCUAAGGAUCAUCCAAGGAAACAUACAAUUUCAACUGUGAUGCCUGCUAUGGAGCAAGUUUAAAGUGUUAAAUAAGGGCACACUAGGAGGGGGCCAGCCAAGACAAGAUGUUUGGUGAAAACCUCCCUGGAGUAGUUUCUCUUUGCAUUUGCAUCACAGGUGAAGUAGGCAAAGAAGAAGACAGAGAAGGAAAGAUAUGGCAGGCAGGAAGAACAGGUACUUCCCAGCUUUGGGGUCCUGGGAACAUGAUGUGGUCUCUCCUGGCCUCAGUUUUCUCAUCUGGAAAUGGGGAAUGGUGGUAGUUGAAGUGGUGAAUGUGAUGAGACUAACAGACCCUAUCACAGGUGUUCUGAGCUUCCCUCCUUCCCUGCUCGACACCUGUGCCACACCUUGCCCCUGGCUGCUCUCCAGGGAGGAUUCUCCCCUGGCUUUUGUGUGGACAAGUCCCAGAGUUGAUGCUUUAUUGGAGGCUAGAGGAGGAAAGAAGGGUCCCAGAAGGAAAAGACCCUGUGUAUCUUCACAGUAGAGACAGUGAGGUGAGGAAAGGGUCAAAAAGUGGGACAGUGUUUUUCCAGGGAAGACUGUGAAAGAGGUGAGGCUAUGGGAGCAUGGGAGAGGUAGAUAGGAGAGCAGGAGGGACCAGGAGCAGGAAGCCCCACUGCACCCACAGAAGCAAGCAAAGAGCUUGGGUUUGGAAAUUACCUCUCAGUGCUGGAUACGACACUGCUUGGAGACUGCCACAGGGAUCGGGCUCUGCGUCCUCUGGGAUUUAUGGCAAUCACCUCUUCUGGACCAAGCAGGAGUGCUGAGCAGGGGGCAGGGGCUGGCUCACAUGGCAGCUUCGGUGACACUGUAUCUGCAUCUCACCACUCACUGCAGGGCUGCUGGCCCUCCAGGCACUUGCUCCUUGAAUCAAGAAACUGUCUCCAUGUCUUGGUUCUUUGCUCCAAUACAAAGAUUGGGUGCCUGACAAAUCUUCACUGGUAGAUGAGCGGAGGAGGGGAAUCUGCCCAGUGCUGUGAAAUCAAUGGACAGAGGAUUUAAUCAGCCAAGAAAGGUACACACAUGCUCCAUACACAGUUCUACAUUUGCCUUCAGAUGCUUCUGACCCCGGAAAUCCAUCCCCUCGUUCAUGCAACAAGCCCCAUUGAUAGGGGGAGGGUACAGGAUGACAAGUCGUGGCCAGGGUAGGUUUGCAUAAUGGUUACAGGAAAGUUCCAGCAGGAGAUGAUAAAGUACACCGAGCAAGGGCUUUCUCUUCCAAUUAGCACAACAUUACUGUUGGAGCUAGGAACUGAGCUGUGACUCACAACCCCUGUCUAGACCUUGGAGAUACAGGAGAAUCCUGUAAUGGAGGGAAUGGUGCAAGCAGAGGCUCAGAGGCAUGAAGCUGCCUGGGGGGUAAUACAAAUUUCCAGAGCUGUGAUCCAAAAGACCAUGCUUCUCAUCACUCUUGGAGACAGCAUUUUCCCUCUGCUGCUGAGACUGUGCUAAAGUGAGCUCCAGAGUCAUGGGGCCAUGGUUUCCCAUCAGGACUGGCUGCACCGUCUCACCGGGGCUCUUUCCCCCGUUGUCUAAAGAGCCUGGCAGAGGUAAAGCAGCUGGAAGCCGGGGCAUCUCUCCAGCCAGCCUCAGGAGCCAGCCUCCUGGGCAGAAUUCUAACCACCUAGAGGGUUAAUAAGCCCCUCUUUAUUUAUCCCAGGCAGAGCCCGGAUCUCAGGGGACACGGGUGGGAAAUGGUCCUUCCACACAUUGGUUUCUGCAAAAUUGGACUAAGAGGAUUUUUGUAGAACAUUUUAGCACAAAGGCGGUUUUCCUACACUGGUCAGCAAAUAGUCUUCUGUCUGAACUCAUUGAUCUCCCUUUGUCUGAAGACAUAUUUUAAGUGGGAUUUGCUUCCCUGAGACAAAUGAUAAAAUCAGUAGGAAAAUGCCAGGAUUUCGCUGCUGCUGCUGCUGAGAUCAAAAGACUCAACUCUGCUUUACAGCAGGAAAAGCUCCACUCCUUGGCUACAAGAUGCCUCUGAGCCCCCAGACCCAGUCCUACCCAUGCACCAGCUUCAAAGGAUGGAAGCUGGGCAGAAAUCUGCAUUGCCUUGAGCCCAGACCCACUGUGGUGGUUCUAACACCCCCUCUUCAAAUAACAAGGUCAGCCCCUGAUCCUUCCUCUCCCCAACUCAGGAGCAACAAGGCUUCUGACAGUCAAUAUGUCUCUUCCAGAAGUUGGUUUAUUCAUGAGGUAGCACUGUGUAGACAGACAGGAGGGUAGGGUUCCAAGACAGUCCUGGAUUCAAAUCCUUCUCUGACAUUUUAGCUGCUGAAACUUGACAGAGUUACUGAACUCUUAGAGCUUCAGUUGCCUGAUCUGUAAAGCAGUACUGAUACUGUUAUUACACCAUGCAGAGAUAGAAUGGAGAAAUGAGAAGCUGCUCUUAAGAAAUCCAAGUGUGGCCAGGCACAGUAGUGCACACCUGUAAUCCCAGCAGCUCGGGAGCUGAGGCAGGAAGAUCACAAGUUCAAAGUGAUCAGCAACUUAGCAAGGCCCUAAACAACUCAGCAAGAUUCUGUCUCUAAAAUAUAAAAAGGACUAGGGAUGUGGCAUAGUAGUUGAGUGCCCCUGAAUUCAAUCCCUGGUAACAAAAAAAAAAGAAAAAAGAAAGAAAGAAAAGAAAAAGAAAGGGAAAGAAAGAGGGGGGGAGGGAGGGGGGAGGGAAAAGAAAAGAAAUCCAAGUGGGUGUAUUUGUUAGGUUUUGCUACCAUGAUGCUACCUAACAAACAGCCCCAGGAUUUCAGCAGCCUAAAACAGCAAACAGCUAUUUCUUGCUGACUACCACAGUGAGCUGGGAAGCUUUGCCUCAGCUGCAGAUCAGGUUCUGUUGGCUCCAAGUCUCUCUCAUUCCCAGGCCAGCGCCCCCUGGAGUUGCUCUUCUCCUGGCACAGAAGGGAGCCAAUAGGACCACCCAACCGCAAUUCACUCAGAGCCUCUGGUCAGGCAGGGAGUGCGGGAACUCUGUUCCAGCCCUCAGACUUGUGGGUCACGUGAGUAAACAAGAGCUCUCCUCUGUCCACAGGGAAGCCAGGCAAUGGAGCAGGGGAGCCGGGAAGAACUGUGAGCUGAUGAUAGGGCCACGUAGUCCCCAACCAACAGAAGCCUUGAUGUUCCAUUACCCCAAGGUGGGUCCACAGCCACCCCUUCUGUCUGUCACCUCUGCCCCUCUCUAACUCAGAUCCUCCCUGCUUUCUGCCUGCAUGGCUGCCAGAGCUUCCAGCAGCUUCUGGGCAGUGCUGUCUUCCCGGGGCCCAUCCAGCCAAUGCUCUGCCCUUCGUGUUCCCAGGAUUCAUUCUGAUCCACAUUAAUAAUUAUUAACCCAACCAACAGAAUUAGACUCAUUAACUCCAGAUGCCUUAUGUGGUCUUCACCACCUGGCCUCCACCUAUGUGCCCCACCCACCUCUGGCCACCAGCCUUCCCGCGAGUCAUCUCGGGUAGAGGUGGUGGGCCCC
Molecule: long non-coding RNA, 4794 nt
Filed under: Marmota monax (woodchuck)
Lineage: Eukaryota; Metazoa; Chordata; Mammalia; Rodentia; Sciuridae
Source: RNAcentral